RNAcentral lists this ribosomal RNA (737 nucleotides) under Demodex brevis. RNAcentral describes it as "partial 16S ribosomal RNA". The stretch from base 514 to 672 matches the Rfam family "Bacterial large subunit ribosomal RNA", at positions 2473 to 2632 of the family's 2925-position model. Lineage: Eukaryota; Metazoa; Arthropoda; Arachnida; Trombidiformes; Demodicidae. The record is from RNAcentral.
GCGUUGAUUUGUUUUGUUGUAAAAUAUUAGUUUUUUAAUUUGAUGGUUUUUUGGUGUUUAGGUUAUUUUGUUGAUUUUUUUAAUGAUCUUUCUAUUAGUAUUAUUUGAUGGUUUUUGGGGAUUUUGAUGUUUGAUUUUUUUUAGGUUAAGAAUUAUUACUAGGGAUUUUUUAAGCUGUUUAACAAAAUCUAAUUUUAUAUUUGUUAUGAAAGAUUUCUGCUCAGUGAUUUAUUAAAUAGCCGCGGUAUUUUGACUGUGCUAAGGUAGCGAAGUCAUUUGUUUUUUUAUUGGAAACUUGUAUGAGGGGAUUUUUUGAGAAAUUUUUAUUAAUUUUUAUGAUUUUGAAUUUGAUUUUUUAGUGAAAAGGCUAAAGUGUUCUUAAAGACGAGAAGACCCUAAAAUCUUUAUUUUAUAGAAGGGAUAUUAAAUUUUACUUGGGGGAAGGUUGUAUUAUAAUUUAUAAAAAUUUGUUAUUUUGAACUUUUUGAAGGUUGAUGGGAUAGAUACUUUAGGGAUAACAGGAUAAUGUGAUUUUAAAGUUCUUAUUUGAGAUUGAGUUUGUUACCUCGAUGUUGGUUUUUGGAGUUUGCUAGGGGUAGGUUUUUAGUUAAAUAAUCUGUUCGAUUAUUAAAACUGAACAUGAACUGAGUUCAAAUCGGUGUGAGCCAGAUUGGAUUUUAUCUUAAGAUGAUUGUAUAGUAUCUAGUACGAAAGGAUUGGUGCUUUUAGAUUUUCAG